This is an RNA transcript of Poecile atricapillus (Black-capped chickadee), 1977 nucleotides long. It is a transcript of the gene named zinc finger protein 501-like, with no coding region annotated. Lineage: Eukaryota; Metazoa; Chordata; Aves; Passeriformes; Paridae. The record is from RefSeq and is a predicted model, not a curated record. The transcript has 3 exons.
CUUGUUACUCACUCAUUACUCACCCGUUACUCACUGGUUACUCACCCUUUACUCUCCCUUUACUCACCCCUUCCUCACCCCUUCCCCAGGUGUGGCCAUGGAGGGGCUGCGGGGCCGGGACCCCCCCUGUGCCCGGAACAUUCCAGCCCUGUCCGAGGAGGAGGAGGAGGAGGAAGAGCCAGGUGAGGAGGAACCAGGUGAGGAGGAGCCAGGUGAGGAGGAAGACGCAGGUGAUGAAGACCCAGGUGAGGAGGAAGAUCCAGGUGAGGUUGAAGACCCAGGUGAGGAAGAAGCAGCUGAGGUUGAAGACCCAGGUGAGGAAGACCCAGGUGAAGAUGAAGAUCCAGGUGAUGAAGAUCCAGGUGAUGAAGACCCAGGUGAAGAUGAAGACCCCGGUGAGGAUGAAGAUCCAGGUGAGGAAGACCCAGGUGAGGAAGUUCCAGGUGAGGAAGUUCCAGGUGAUGAAGACCCAGGUGAUGAAGACCCAGGUGAGGAUGAAGACCCAGGUGAGGAUGAAGGCCCAGGUGAUGAAGACCCCGCUGAGGAUGAAGACGCAGCCCAGGAAGCCCCACCCGGACCCCUCCACGUCCUCCCCUCCCCUCGCCGGCCCCGCCUUUACCUGCGGCCCCGCCCUGCCCCGGACGAGCCGGGCCCCUCCCACCUGAGCCCCUGGCGCCAGGUGAGCUCCGACCCCGAACCGGGCGGGGCCUUCGUCCACCUCAUCGACGAGCGCGGCGUCUACUCCACGGCCAAGCUGGUGCCAGGUGAGGAGGAGGAGGAGGAGGAUGAAGACGAAGAAGAAGAAGAAACACCUGAGGGCGAGGCUCACCUGGAGAUCCGCCGGGUGAUCGUGGCCGAGAAGCCCUUCCAGUGCCCGGCGUGCCACAAGGGCUUCAAGCGCGCCUGGGAGCUGCUGAGCCACCAGGUGGUUCACACCGAGGCGCGUCCCUACACCUGCCACCUGUGCCAGGCCACCUUCAAGCGCCACUCGGACUUCAAGAGCCACGGGCUGGUGCACACGGAGGAGCGGCCGCACCGCUGCGAGCUCUGCGGCAAGCGCUUCAAGCGCUCCUCCAACCUGCAGGAGCACCGCCGCAUCCACAGCGGCGAGCGCCCCUUCACCUGCCCCAGGUGCGCCAAAGCCUUCAAGACGCCCUACGAGCGCCAGCGCCACGCCCUCACCCACCUGGCGGCGGUGGCCGACAAACCCUUCCGCUGCGGCGAGUGCGGCAAGGAUUUCCCGGCGGCCAACGCGCUGCUGCUGCACCGGCGGCAGCGCUGCCGGGACAAGCCGCACGCCUGCGGCGUCUGCGGCAAGCGCUUCACCUACGGCCACUCGCUGAAGGUGCACGAGCGCGUCCACACCGGCGACCGCCCCUUCCGCUGCGGCCUCUGCGGCAAGGCCUUCAAGCAGAGCAACGCGCUGGCCUCGCACGAGCGCGUGCACACGGGCGAGCGCCCCUUCGCCUGCCGCACCUGCGGGAAGGCCUUCAAGCAGUCGUCCUACCUGGCCAUCCACCAGCGGGCGCACACGGGCGAGCGGCCCUACGGCUGCGAGGUGUGCGGGAAGGCGUUCGCCCGGCCCUCGCUGCUGCUGCAGCACCGGCGGGUGCACAGCCAGGUGAGGCCGCACCAGUGCGGGCACUGCCACAAGUUCUUCAAGGACCUGGCGUACCUGGCGGUGCACGAGAAGGUGCACACGGGGGAGACGCCCUACAAGUGCGGGGUGUGCGCCAAGGGCUUCGCGCACCCCUCCAACCUGCUGCAGCACCGGCGCGUGCACCGCGACACCUGAGGGGACAGGUGGAGGAUUCGGUACCUGUGAGCCAGGACAGGUGUGGAGCCCAAAAUUGAGUUUUUGACCCCCAAAAACAGCAGCAGCUACACCUGGACUGCGACACCUGAGCCCCAGGUGGAGGAUUCGGUACCUGUGAGCCAGGACAGGUGUGGAGCCCAAAAUUGUGGUUUUGACCCCCA